UCGGGAAUAUUGCGCAAUGGAGGAAACCCUGAUGCAGCGACGCCGCGUGGAGGAAGAAGGUCUUCGGAUUGUAAACUCCUGUUGUUGAGGAAGAUAAUGACGGUACUCAACAAGGAAGUGACGGCUAACUACGUGCCAGCAGCCGCGGUAAAACGUAGGUCACAAGCGUUGUCCGGAAUUACUGGGUGUAAAGGGAGCGCAGGCGGGAAGACAAGUUGGAAGUGAAAUCUAUGGGCUCAACCCAUAAACUGCUUUCAAAACUGUUUUUCUUGAGUAGUGCAGAGGUAGGCGGAAUUCCCGGUGUAGCGGUGGAAUGCGUAGAUAUCGGGAGGAACACCAGUGGCGAAGGCGGCCUGCUGGGCUUUAACUGACGCUGAGGCACGAAAGCGUGGGUAGCAAACAGGAUUAGAUACCCUGGUAGUCCACGCUGUAAACGAUGAUUACUAGGUGUGGGGGGUCUGACCCCUUCCGUGCCGGAGUUAACACAAUAAGUAUUCCACCUGGGGAGUACGACCGCAAGGUUGAAACUCAAAGGAAUUGACGGGGGCCCGCACAAGCAGUGGAUUAUGUGGUUUAAUUCGACGCAACGCGAAGAACCUUACCAGGACUUGACAUCCAACUAACGAAGUAGAGAUACAUCAGGUGCCCUUCGGGGAAAGUUGAGACAGGUGGUGCAUGGUUGUCGUCAGCUCGUGUCGUGAGAUGUUGGGUUAAGUCCCGCAACGAGCGCAACCCUUAUGGUCAGUUACUACGCAAGAGGACUCUGGCCAGACUGCCGUUGACAAAACGGAGGAAGGUGGGGAUGACGUCAAAUCAUCAUGCCCUUUAUGACUUGGGCUACACACGUACUACAAUGGCGUUAAACAAAGAGAAGCAAGACCGCGAGGCAGAGCAAACCCCCAAAAGCCGUCCCAGUUCGGAUUGUAGGCUGCAACUCGCCUGCAUGAAGUCGGAAUCGCUAGUAAUCGCGGAUCAGCAUGCCGCGGUGAAUACGUUCCC
RNAcentral lists this ribosomal RNA (999 nucleotides) under uncultured bacterium. RNAcentral's name for it is "bacterial SSU rRNA". It matches the Rfam family "Bacterial small subunit ribosomal RNA", at positions 355 to 1375 of the family's 1533-position model. The record is from RNAcentral.